This 468-nucleotide ribosomal RNA is filed under the name uncultured bacterium. Its description in RNAcentral is "partial 16S ribosomal RNA". It matches the Rfam family "Bacterial small subunit ribosomal RNA", at positions 28 to 507 of the family's 1533-position model. The record is from RNAcentral.
GACGAACGCUGGCGGCGUGCUUAACACAUGCAAGUCGAACGGAAAGGCCCUGCUUUUGUGGGGUGCUCGAGUGGCGAACGGGUGAGUAACACGUGAGUAACCUGCCCUUGACUUUGGGAUAACUUCAGGAAACUGGGGCUAAUACCGGAUAGGAGCUCCUGCUGCAUGGUGGGGGUUGGAAAGUUUCGGCGGUUGGGGAUGGACUCGCGGCUUAUCAGCUUGUUGGUGGGGUAGUGGCUUACCAAGGCUUUGACGGGUAGCCGGCCUGAGAGGGUGACCGGCCACAUUGGGACUGAGGUACGGCCCAGACUCCUACGGGAGGCAGCAGUGGGGAAUAUUGCACCAUGGGCGGAAGCCUGAUGCCGCAACGCCGCGUGCGGGAUGACGGCCUUCGGGUUGUAAACCGCUUUCGCCUGUGACGAAGCGUGAGUGACGGUAAUGGGUAAAGAAGCACCGGCUAACUACGUG